RNAcentral lists this transfer RNA (90 nucleotides) under Podarcis lilfordi (Lilford's wall lizard). Its description in RNAcentral is "tRNA.Lys". The stretch from base 9 to 81 matches the Rfam family "tRNA". From Rfam's summary of the family: Transfer RNA (tRNA) molecules are approximately 80 nucleotides in length. Their secondary structure includes four short double-helical elements and three loops (D, anti-codon, and T loops). Lineage: Eukaryota; Metazoa; Chordata; Lepidosauria; Squamata; Lacertidae. The record is from RNAcentral.
UUAAUCUUGACUCAGCUGAACAGUCGGUAGAGCAUGAGAAUCUUAAUCUCAAGGUCUUGGGUUCGAGUCCCAUUUGGGCCAAAGAUUACA